This 253-nucleotide ribosomal RNA is filed under the name uncultured bacterium. RNAcentral describes it as "partial 16S ribosomal RNA". It matches the Rfam family "Bacterial small subunit ribosomal RNA", at positions 524 to 776 of the family's 1533-position model. The record is from RNAcentral.
UACGAAGGGGGCUAGCGUUGUUCGGAUUUACUGGGCGUAAAGCGCACGUAGGCGGAUCGUUAAGUCGGGGGUGAAAUCCUGGAGCUCAACUCCAGAACUGCCUUCGAUACUGGCGAUCUCGAGUCCGGAAGAGGUGAGUGGAACUCCUAGUGUAGAGGUGGAAUUCGUAGAGAUGUGGAGGAAUACCGAUGGCGAAGGCAGCCCCCUGGGCCAAUACUGACGCUCAUGCACGAAAGCGUGGGGAGCAAACAGG